Molecule: long non-coding RNA, 4098 nt
Organism: Oxyura jamaicensis (ruddy duck)
Lineage: Eukaryota; Metazoa; Chordata; Aves; Anseriformes; Anatidae
Exons: 2
Source: RefSeq, a predicted model, not a curated record
AUUUUAAACAUUUUUCUGUAAUGUUGGUCUUUGUCCUGUCUGCUAAUUGUUUUAAGCUUUUCAUGUAAGGAGGUGGUGCUCUGUUGUUGUUUUAUUGCUUUUUGAAAAAAAAAGACUUGAAACAACAUUGAGAAUAGAAGUAAGAAACAUAUCUAUAGAGAUUUAAUUUAAAUUCAUCAUUAGAAAAAAAUAUUUCAUUUAAAUUAGGCUAAUUCAGUUUUCCAUUGUUAGAUAUUUUUUGGGGGAAAAUAAGGUAAAUUUUUCCCCUUCAACAUGAUCUUUGCAAGCUUAUUCCUACACAAAGUUCUCACUGAAGUCAAUGGAGCACUGAAAAUCUUAGGUAAUUGCCUUGCACAGUUAACACUGCAGUUUGGAUCUUAAUGUGUGACUUCUGUUGGUGGGGGGGGGAUUUUUUUUUUUUUUUCUUUUGAUGAUGCUCAUUACUUCUGUUACUUCUGUUUUUUUUUUUGUACUGAAUCUCCAUUUGUCUUGUCAACAUGUCAUGUAUGCAUUUAGCCAUUAUAGAUUUAUCUAAUUUAAAAUAUUUUGUAUGUAUGGUGAUAACUACUAUUUAAAUAUAAACUAUAAAUAGUUUACCUCCUAGUGCAAUAACAAGAUUUCAAUUUUCCUUUCUUACUGUUGUAGUAUUACUUUGAUUACAUUAAAAAUGCUUUCUUACAUACUGGUACUCCUUUUUGAUCUUAGAUAUCUCUUGAAAAAUGCAGUUAACUGCACAGAAUGCUUCCAGAGUAAAGUGGUUUUAUAACUGUUAGUAAAGAAAAGAUGUUUCCUUUAAGUAGCUCUGAGCCCAUAAUUUACAGAUGUGUUGAAUACAAGGGAAUUCUUACUUUUAAUGUUCCAAAUCUGAAUACAGUUUUAUGAAACAUGGCCCUACUGAUGCUGAAUUGUACAUAGGCAGAUAAAGGGAUUUAGGCAGAGCCCCAUUGACUUCACUGGGAUCAUUGUGGAAUUGAGCACCUGCCCAUUUGAAUCUGGAGUUUUUGCCUUCCUGGAGUGGAAACAUUCCAGCUGGUGGUCUGAAGCUAACUUCACUUUGAGCAUGGUAGCUGUUUUGCCAUGAAAAACAGUAUACUGAAUGAUGGAACCAUAUGCUGCAGCAAGUCUAGAAACGCCUGCUGUCAGCGUGACUUACUGCAAGAGUCAGGUUUUGGUUUAAAAAAUGCUGCUGACUUCUUGGAGUUUGUUAACAAUGAUCCCAGAGUACCAUUUUUUUGGCUCGCUUGCCACUUUGUGAUCUGGAUAGUAUGAGAUUAGUACUGUUGUAAUAAUGGUCUGGGAUAUUCUAGCAAACUCUGGCAAGUCUCCAAUAUUUCCUGGACUCUAAAACUACUUUGAUUGAAGGUUAUAUUGACCUACAAUAUCUUGCCUGUUCUUAUAGCCUUGUUAUAUUUUUGUCUUUGUGAAGCCUAGAUUUUUAGUAACUCUUACAACAAAGAGCCUUUUCUGAUUUAUUCUUUGAACUAAUUCUUAAACCAUGAAGAAGAUAUUGCUGUAUCAACUUUAAGGUUUGGGUAGGCAAAAUAUAUCUGAUGAGAGCCCUGACAACUGAAAAAUUGCCCCUAAAUAAUUGACUAUAAAUUAUUCAGGAGCUUAGUUUUAUGUUUCAUCCAAAUGACCUUAACAUUGGUUCAGUACUGCCAGAGAGGGAAGAUUGCUGCCUAAUGAACAACACUUCCUGGUGUUUUUCUUGUGAUGAGAUCACUGCCUGACGUGGUAUGGCAACAGGCAGAUGACUAGACUGGCCAAGGCAGACCUGUUACACUUGCCUGAGUUAGGCAUUGUUUGCCAUGCCACUAAACCUGCCGUCAAGUGAAACCUUCAUGGGGGAAAUGAGAUCGAAGUCUGGCCUGCUGAAGAUGGACGCCCUGUCUCUGUUUUUAUUUUAUUUUGCUUUCUUUCCUUUUUUUUUUUUCCUUUAUUAUUUUUUUUAAUUUAUUUUUAUUUUAUUUUGUCCCUUUUUGUUUUGUUUUGUUAAAUCUCUUUCCCUUGUACUUGUGAACCGGUACUUCAGUUCUGUAAAAAUGGUGUUUUGUAAAGGGUUCGCAGUGCUUCAUUUUGAAGUUGACCUGAAGCUGCUUAUGAAUGGUGGAUGGUAUACACAGAGUAUGAUUAACUGAUUUUUAUGCUGUGAAUUAUGGAUAAAUUUGGUUUUGAAUACAUGUAAGCAUCUAAAUUCAACGGAUGAGCAUAUUGUGUCAGAAGGCUGGAAUAGUGAAAAAUAGUUAAGAUACAUUCUUUCAUAUUUUAUACUUUACGAGUUCACCUUGGAAAAGGACACUUAAAACUCUUACUUUCUGGAGACAUUAAGUUUGCAAAAUACAGUCAUGAUCUUUCUCUGCUAUUUGCUCCACUUCUCAGCAGAGUAGUUUUUAUUUUAGGUUGCAUGGUCUGUUUAAAAGAAGAUUUUCUAUUUAUGUCUAGUAUAAAGAGUUUAAAUUAUAACUAUUUCUGAAAUUAUAACUAUUUCUGAAAUUGCAAUUUCAUGGAUAUUGAAUGUCAUGAAAUACUUGCUUCUGAUGAGAUCUUGCUCCAGUGAGGUCAGUGGCAGUAAAAUUUCGUCCUUUUUUUUUUUAUAAUUCUAGAAAGACUGUAUACCACUCAUAAGUACAAAUGCAGCCCGAGGUUUAGAUUGGAAUGUGUUAUAUGAGGCACAUUGUCUUUUAACAUUGUUAUUUGUGUGAAGAUUGAAUCAGUUCUGUAUGCGUGUGUGUGUGUAUGUGUAUGUAUUGCACUUUUACAUGCUCCAGUGGUGGUUAUGUGAAGAAGAAGCUUAAAAAAAAAAAAGUCAUCUUAGUUAUCUCAACCCCUGGUAGUUGAUGCUGGAGUGACUGAGAAGUUUAUCAUCUCUAGAUGAGUUCUUCUUUCUUAUGGAAUGGAACCCCUACAGUAGAAAUUAUGGGCCAGGUGGUAUGUUUCAUCCUCAGGCAUUUCUCUUCCCAGCUAAGUGCAUUGAGAUCAGUUGGUUUCACUUUGGUAAUGCACUAGGCUGUGAACUGCAGCUGGGAAGAGCUUUGCUUCAUAAUCUUUGUUUCAUUUAUCUGAGGCAGUUGAGGUUGUUGCCAGUAGUUCUGAUCUGUUUAAUCACUGCUGUUAAAUCCAAUAACAAUCAUGAAUUGGAUCACACAGAAAUUGUUUUAUUUCAAAGUGUGCAUUUGCCACUGACAAAAUAGAAGGAAAAUAACAAUACCUCUAAUUAUGUUUAAAGUAGAUGUGAAAAUAUUUUAAAACAAACUUACUUAUUGCUGAAGCAGUUUUGAGGGGAGGAUUAAGCAUGUAGUUUAAGUAUGAAAAAUAGGAAAUUAAUUUAUUCUGAGCAUUUGGAAGGAGAUAAAAAUACUGUGAUUACUACCUGCUUAAAACAAAUACUUUUGUUCAUCAUUUAGCAAAGUGGAUUCUGGUAUGCGCUUAGUUGGCUAGAACUCUUAAGCACUUUGAUAGAAAAAACUGAAUCGUGUAUUUAGGACAACAGUACAUCUUUUAAGGAGCAUAAGGUAUUUUUAGUCAGUGCAGAACUAAUCUACAUGUACUUCCAGAUUCCAUCACAAAGCAAAGAGUAAUUAAGUAAAUGAUCAUAGAACCUAUAUUUUGCUAAACAAGCAAAAGAUUCUAAGAAAUAUUACUAAUAUGUGGUAUACAUGUGACAUUUAUUUUGUUUCCCUUAUUAGAAAAUCAGUAUCUUUACAUCAUUUCCAUUAAGCCCAAAUUUAAAAAACAAAUCUGUUAUUCUUAAAUAAUUCUUAGAGUAUCCUAACUUAUUGUAUCAUAUCAUCACUUGUUGUAUAUCUGUGUGGGCUUAUUCUUUUAUAAACUUAGGGAGAUAAAGCUCUAAAAACUUAAAAUCUGUUUUUAAUUCAGGAGGUUAUUUGGUCUCACAUACUCAUUUGUUCAGGAAAGUAGAUGUGCAAGGUUUUCUUCCCCUGUCCCAGUUUAUUUUCUAUGGAAUUAUUUAAAAAUUUAACCUGAUCUUAAAAGCUGGAGGGUGAACCUGUGAAAAUACAGUGUCUCUGAAAAUACAGGCAAACUUUCAGGGUUCUGUUUAUAGCGUUAGACCCUUCUACAAUAAAAUGAACAAGCAGA